Molecule: long non-coding RNA, 204 nt
Filed under: Elaeis guineensis (African oil palm)
Lineage: Eukaryota; Viridiplantae; Streptophyta; Magnoliopsida; Arecales; Arecaceae
Description: long non-coding RNA (EGUI_LNC035671)
Source: RNAcentral
CUGGGUGUGUCACUGGAGUUCUAAGGCUUCAAUUCUUUGGACCAAGAUAGCAAUUUUGGCCUCGAUAGCUAGGAAAGGUUAAACUUGAUAUACUCUCCCUCUUGAAGGUGUGAGUCUUUUGGGUUUCCUAGUUAUCUUUAUUGUAGUUCUUCUCCUCUAGAUCUUCUAGAAAUUGUUAGACUUCUAUAGGCUCUUUGUUCAUGA